UGGUGUGAUGGCGUGGAUCGAUCAGAGCAAAGGGGGGAGAAGACAAACCCUAACUUCAUGAAAUUCUCAAGAAUUGAAAGAGAUUAGGAGCCCAAACUAAUGCAUGAACUCGAAACCUCAAUCAUCUAAGCUUGUACAACAAGCGGAACGUGUCAAGGAGAGGUCAAGCAUAGGAGGAUAACGGGUCAAGAUAAGGCAAGAUGACAAAUACACUUAUUGGAGUACUCGAGGUAAGUGAAUUUCGAUUCACUUUUUAGUAGGUUUAAUAGAAUUUAAUACUUAUGUUUACGAAACAUCAUGAAAGAACAUGUAAUAAUCAGAAGUACAAAGCCAAUAAUGCCUCAUUAUUGAAGAAGGUUGUAUUUAAGCCGAAAGUAAAUUGGUGGGUUUAAACGGGUCGAAUUUUAUGUGCAUAUGUUGCGUAAUGAAAUGAAAUUCGUUAUGGUUAAGACCUUGGGUAAGAAUUUUAGUCAUUAUGUAAGGGGAACAUUUCCCGGACCAUUAGGUACAAGUUUUAUAUGAUUCGGUUGUCGGUCAAUGAAUGAACGGAUUGUUUCGUUUUAGUGUAGGAAAUUUUAUAAGUAUAUGUGUAUAGGAAUCCAAAGGCCACGUGGGUUGAAUCGUAGAUUGUCUAUACUAUGUAAAGUUUUGAAUGUGACAUUCCGGCAUAAACCUACAUGUAAAAGAAGCUUGUGUAUAUAUUCGUGAUUAAUUGAUUGUGCGAAGGAAGGAACAUUGGCAUGAAUGAAGGUACGCACAUAUAUAUAUAAGUGUAUAUAUAUAUAUAUAUAUGUAUGUAUGUAUGAUAAUAAGUACGUAGGUGUGAAUGUAUGUGUGAAUGAAUGUUCAAUGCUUAAGACAUAUGCAUGAACGUAUCAAAGGGUUCGAGUAUUUACGGAUACUAAUGAUGUGCGUUGAGUUGGAAUGUAAUGUAGGUAUGGGGUCGUUGGCUUCAUGAAGAAAUGGAGCUGGAUUUGGAUAAGAGUAUUUAAGAAAGCGCUUGGACAAUUCCACGACUACUUUAUAGAAUGCUCUACGAAAUUUUAUUAUAUAGUUUAAUGUUGAAUGGUAUGUUGAUAACUAAUGGUUUGGUUGUACGUGGUGUCCACAGGUAUCGCUUGGGUUUUCUCUACUUUUAUUGAAGUGAAGCGGACUUAGUUCGAGUUGAGAGCAAGGAUUGUACGGGCUAGAAUGGUCACAUAGUGUAACUCAUAUAGGUUUUGAAGUAUUAAUGUUAUAAAACGUUAUAAAUCCGUUUUAAUGAAUAUAUGGCAUUUCGUAUUUGAACUUUCAUGUGUUUGAUAUGUCUAUUAAAGAACGAAAUUUUUGGGCUCUUGUUUUCCGCUGCGUCGUAUUUUAAGUUAUUACGCGUUAGUCUUACAGGGAAUUGUUCUUAUUACGAACGGGUCAUGCCCGAAUUUUGUUAAAUAAUAGUAUGAUAAUAUUACAUUUUGGAAUGUGUAAUUUGGGCGUAACAAGUUGGUAUCAGAGCCCUGGUUUGAGAGAAUUAAGUACGAGAGUAUAAGUACUUGAACUCAAACCUGUGUGCUCUUGUGAUAAGGAACCCGUACAAUCCAUGACUCGAUCAAGAUCUAAAGGUAGAAAUGGAACGAAAAUGUGUAAGUAUGUAUUAGAUUAUGUAUUUGAAAGAAACUAAUAGUGUGUUAUGUGCAAGGUAAGCUUAAGAUCUUGAAGAGGAUGAUCCGUGAAUACAGAAUGGGAUGAACGCUAAGGCGGGCAAAGGUGCAAAUAGGCAAAUUAACCCCAGGUACACAUUACUAAUAUGUAUGAGUACCGAUGUCAAAAGAAAAAGGAAGGGGUCUCCUUGGGAGGGAAAUUAUUAAACGAAAGACAAUGAUGUGGUCUUGGGGAAGUUUUAGAAAUGUGCACGAAACUGAAACCCAUUUCUCGGGCAUAAGGCGAUGAUUACACGAAGGCACGAAACUAGUGUGUGAAUUGCGCACCUGGCCAGUACGCAAGAAGCAUAUGACGUUCGUGAGACCGUGGCAAUUAUUGCAGGUAUGUCCGGUAGAACUGGGUAGCAGGUGGGCGCUAUGUUGUAGCGAAUCCGAAAUAGCAAAUCCAUUGCGGAUUUGGUUAUGCUAACGAAGGUUAUGAAAAGUUAUGCGAGUCGACCGGUUCUAGCGAACAAGUCGAAUAAGAAUAAGCUACCAUCCGUUUUGAACGGGUGAUUUUGAAUGCUCUAAUGAAUGCUAGAAGCUUAAUCCGUUAUACGGAUUGAAAGAAGAAGUUAUGAUUAAAUGUGAAAAACCCAAUUAUUUGGGUAGUGGAAAAUGUGUAUGCUUAACUCUCGUUGAGAGUGUUUAUGCCAAACCCAAUUAUCUGGGUAGUGGAAUGUGUAUGCUUAACUCUCGUUGAGAGUGUUUAUGCCAAACCCAAUUAUUUGGGUAGUGGAAUGUGUAUGCUUAACUCUCCUUGAGAGUGUUUAUGCCGAAACCCAAUUAUUUGGGUAGUCGAAUGUGUAUGCUUAACUCUCUUUGAGAGUGUUUAUGCCAAACCCAAUUACUUGGGUAGUCGAAUGU
Molecule: long non-coding RNA, 2543 nt
Filed under: Helianthus annuus (common sunflower)
Lineage: Eukaryota; Viridiplantae; Streptophyta; Magnoliopsida; Asterales; Asteraceae
Description: hypothetical non coding rna
Source: RNAcentral